RNAcentral lists this ribosomal RNA (230 nucleotides) under uncultured bacterium. RNAcentral's name for it is "partial 16S ribosomal RNA". It matches the Rfam family "Bacterial small subunit ribosomal RNA", at positions 562 to 791 of the family's 1533-position model. The record is from RNAcentral.
AAAGCGUGCGCAGGCGGUUUUGUAAGUCUGUCGUGAAAUCCCCGGGCUCAACCUGGGAAUUGCGAUGGAGACUGCAAGGCUGGAGUUUGGCAGAGGGGGGUAGAAUUCCACGUGUAGCAGUGAAAUGCGUAGAUAUGUGGAGGAACACCGAUGGCGAAGGCAGCCCCCUGGGUCAAGACUGACGCUCAUGCACGAAAGCGUGGGGAGCAAACAGGAUUAGAUACCCCUGU